UGGGGAAUAUUGGACAAUGGGCGAAAGCCUGAUCCAGCCAUGCCGCGUGAGUGACGAAGGCCUUAGGGUUGUAAAACUCUUUCGUCGGGGACGAUAAUGACGGUACCCGAAGAAGAAGCUCCGGCUAACUUCGUGCCAGCAGCCGCGGUAAUACGAAGGGAGCUAGCGUUGUUCGGAAUCACUGGGCGUAAAGCGCACGUAGGCGGAUAGUUUAGUCAGAGGUGAAAGCCCAGGGCUCAACCUUGGAAUUGCCUUUGAUACUGGCUAUCUUGAGUUUGGGAGAGGUGAGUGGAACUCCGAGUGUAGAGGUGAAAUUCGUAGAUAUUCGGAAGAACACCAGUGGCGAAGGCGACUCACUGGCCCAAUACUGACGCUGAGGCUCGAAAGCGUGGGGAGCAAACAGGAUUAGAUACCCGGGUAGUCCCUGAGCGGGCUGGCAAGGCG
This 444-nucleotide ribosomal RNA is filed under the name uncultured bacterium. Its description in RNAcentral is "bacterial SSU rRNA". It matches the Rfam family "Bacterial small subunit ribosomal RNA", at positions 355 to 822 of the family's 1533-position model. The record is from RNAcentral.